RNAcentral lists this long non-coding RNA (10160 nucleotides) under Triticum aestivum (bread wheat). RNAcentral describes it as "long non-coding RNA (TAES_LNC000244)". Lineage: Eukaryota; Viridiplantae; Streptophyta; Magnoliopsida; Poales; Poaceae. The record is from RNAcentral.
GAGUAAAACAUUUAAUUUCUUCCGGCUUUAUAUAAUUUUUUCAUAUCAUACGAUAACAAUCAUUUAUUUACAAAUAAUAAUAUUUGCAGCGGCAUGCACAUUAUUCACAAUUGUACAUCAAUACAAAAAAUAUUAUCAAAAUUACGGCAUCAUUUUAUUCCUUAGCUCCAAUAUGGAUGUGCUUGCGAAUGCAAUUAAGCGUCAAAAUAGUUCCAAUAAAUAUCCGUCACCAGUGCUAUAUGAACGGAGUCAACCUAUUUAUCACAUGAAAAUCAAUAUUACACACGGAUUUUUCUUCCUGCUAUCAAGAGUAUGAAAAUAGCACUUGCAUGUAUGUGGUCAUCACCUGAAAAGGGACAGCCAAGAUGGAUACACAAUUUCUUCAAUCACGUCAUCUCCUCCUUGUUUGCUACUAAGAUGAAUUAUUUUACCUAAUUACAUACAUCAUUAAGUACAUUAGCACCUAAUCUUAACAUAUAAAAUUUAGAUUAUUGCGACAUAACAAAGUAGACCUACGGUUUCCUAACUAUAGACUUAUUAAUAAACAUACCACAUGAAAUAACGUACCACAUGCAAUGAACAAUUACAGUACAAUUUUUUCUUAAUUACCGUAUUAAGAUUUCCCGCAUGUCAAUAUAAUGGACGCACCUAACAUUGAUACAACAUCUUCAACCUACUCUUCUAAAAAACUAGUAUAAAUGCUACAUCUGUCGUCUGAAAUUAUUUCUAACCACUAAGCACUACCAUCGCAUAGCUAAUAACGAGCUAAAGACGAACUAAUUACCACCCUGCAUGCACAAAUAAAUCAAUGUAUUGCAAAGCUCAUACCUUGAUCUUAAACUUCGUAGUUCACUUCGCUACACAAAUCCUACUCCUGAAGCUCUAAAUGACUCCAAAAAAUAAUAAAAUAAUACCUAACACAACAGAGAACACAUAGUUAUGAACUAAACAAAAAAGAGUACAAACUUCAUGCAUGCGAACGAAACCAACAAAAAUGGAUAGAUCUUACCUUCGCCUAUCUUUUCUUCAACUUCAGCAUAUUCAAAAUCCAACUCUAAAUCGCCCUAAAUCACGAGUGAAAGUGCCUAGUCAGUUUUGCUUUCUCUCUGUUCUUGCAUGCAGAGAGUAGAAGAGUAGGCCAGAGUGUGCUUGCGCACGGAGCAUACGCAUACUAUAUAAAAGGAAGAGCAUCCCUGUAGUGUCAGCACAACAGGUUCCCACGGCGUGUGAGUGAUUCCCGCAGUGCCGUCAUAUCCGCUGAGGCAAAAGAAGGAAAAACCGGAGUGAUUCCUGGGCAGCAGCAUCGCCAAAGCAACCAGUGCAGAGCACCGCUGAGUGUCGGCACUAAGGGUCAAAGUUCACAGAUUCCCGCGCGUGGGAAUGAGGGCUGUCUGUGUCGGAAUUAGCGCCGUCAGCUGUCGCGCGUGCAGGAAAGAUGCCGCCAGCAGCAGUGGCGGCAGGGCCCGCGCCUCGGCCCGCGUGCAGCAGCAGUUGUCGGCCAGCCAGCGACCACGCCCAGGAGAGGCCGCCUCCGCCCGUGGCGGCAGGGCCCACCUGGCCCGCCCCGUUCCGUCACGGCGCGGUGAGUAGUUGGGAUUCCCGUUCGGCUGGGUGGCCGCCUCCUGCGGUGGCGGCAGGGCCCGCCGCCUCCUGGCGUGGCGGCAGGUGCCACGUGUCGCCCGCCGCGGCUGCCGCCACUGCUGAGGGGGUCUUUUUUAUCAAAUUGAUUCACAGGUAGUCCUUUUUGUCAAUUCAUCUUGGCAGGGGGUCCUUUUGGACAAAAAAUCCGCGCGAUGGAGUUGGCCUAAGUGCUCUACUGCUACUUCCAUGAGAUGAGAUGAUCCCAACAUGGAUUUGUAUGGUCCGGUCGUUGCGUGAAUCAUGAGCCAAGAGGAAGAGGGGCCACCAUUUCCUUCUACUUGCUCCGCUGUAAGCCACAGCUAGCUAGCUAGAUCGUUGCUUGCCGAUCGAUCAUGAUCACUUCCCAAAACAAGCCGCGGUUGCUGCGCUGAGCCAACGAUAGCCACUUUCAGGCCAAGUAAUCCACCGAAAUAGGCGGAAUUGUGGGACUACUAUACUGGGGUGGAUGUUUUGUUUCCUCCGUGAUACCGUACCGAAUUCCCGCCAGCUAGCCGCAAGGAGAACGUGUUGCUUAGUUGUGGAUUGGAAGGCUAAAUUUCCUUGGGUUUUUUCUGUUGGCCUCAACUUAACUUUGAGGGUGAGAAGAGAAGAAAACCCUGGCUGGGCUGGCAUCAGUUGCUGAAUGGGAGCAUUUCCGGAAGAAAACCCGACACGCGACGCGCCGGGACGUUACAACUUAAAAGCUUGGAUUGUUGCAACAGCUAGCGCACACAUACAUUGCUUGCUUCAGGCUUCAGCUCACAACAACCAGCACGCCACAGCGGGGAAACAAAUCAAUUUCUUUUUUCUUUUCUCUUUUGUAUAAUUUUUUUUAAAGUCCAUUUCGUAAAACGAAAGAGCAGAGCAGACAAUAUACUCCGACGGCAUAGACCGUGCAUUGUACUGCUGUCUACUGGUGAGAUCCAUCGAUUUUCUAGUUGUAGUACAUUCCACCAGUCAGUUUGGCACAGACUAAUUAAUCAAACACUGGGAUGCAACUACUACACUAGUCCUGGUGUACUUGGAACCGAAGGAAGGUUCCUGGACACACCGAAUUUUAAGCGCGUAAUUCCUACUAGUACUCCUACUGGCUACCAGUAGUGCUGUGCUGGAUGGAUUAAGAAAAGAUUAACGUUCACUAGCCCAACGCAUUACACUAGUAUAGACUCAGAAGCCCAACAAUCAUUCAUUCAUUCCCCGUUUUCUUCAACCAAAAUCAUUUCGAUUCCGUGCCGCAUAAUAUAACCGGACAAACAACUUAAGCGUGUAUCACUCCCCUCACCUCACCUCACCUCACCUCACGUAUAUAACCAGCCAACAAGAAAGCAGACGCAGACAGAGAGGAGGCCAGCAGAUUAGCGAAAGAGAGAGAGAUCCAAAAAGCUCCACACACGAACCAUUUUGCUGCUGCUGCCUGCUGCCGCUUUGGCCUUUCUGCGCUUUUGGCUUUCGCAUCUCAACCGUGCGACGACGCGAGGAAUCAACACGGGCGCCAUGGAGAGGACCGGUUCCAGCGCUGACGGCACGGGUCCUAGCACCUCCUCCUCCUACUCCACCGCCGACGCCGACGACAAUGGCACCGCCGGCGGCGCCAAGGUCUGGCUCCUCGUGCUCCUCUUCUCCCUGCUCCUGCUGCUCUUCCUCCCCUCCGCGGUGCGCCGAGGCGGCGGCGGAUUCCAGCGCGGAGGGAUUACGCUCAAGAGCGGCUGGGACGUUGUCAACCUCUGCCUCGUGCUCUUCGCCAUCCUCUGCGGCCUGCUCGGCCGCGGUGGGGGCGACGGCGAUGGGGAGCCCCCCGGCCCCGCGGCGCCGGCGCCCAAGAGCCAUCUGCGGGUGUCCCCUGCGGCGGCGGCGACGCCGGAGCCGAGCACGGAGGACGUCUGGGCGAGCUUCAACAACUCCUACACCAACCACAACGCCCAGACGGGGAUCCGGCGGAUGAAGAGCAGCAGCUCCUACCCGGAGCUGCGGCUGGACAGCGACGGCGUCUGGGGCCUCGCGUCACCGGAGUUGGCCUGGCGCUCGUACGACGACGCCGAGCUGUACCGGACACGGCGAGACGAGCGGCCCGACAGGGCCCGGGACGCCGAUCGGUCGCUCAGGAGGACGUCGUCGGAUGUGAAGACGAUCCCGGUGGACACCUACGAGGUGCGCACCAGACCGCUGCCUCAGGAUGCGAGGAGGCGGAGGCGGAGUGUCGAGAGGCUCCCCAAGAUGGAUGAGGUGGAGGAGGAGAGGACGCAUCCGGCGGAGACGGAGACUCUCGCUACGCCGGCGAGGAGCAGGACCUGGAGCCCGGAGGAGCUGGACGCUACGCUGCUGGGGAUGGCGUCCGCACCACCGGCACCUGCCCCACCGCCGCAGCCUCGCCGUCGCCGACGCAGCCUCGAGAGGCUCCCCGAGAUGGUUGAGGUGGAGGAGAAGAGGACGCGUCCCACGGAGACUCGCGCUACGCCGGCGAGGAGCAGGACGUGGAGCCCGGAGGAGCUGGGCGCUACGCUAUUGGAGAUGGCGUCCGCAGAACCACCACCUGCCCCGCCGCAGCAGCCUCGCCGUCGCCGCCGCAGCCUCGAGAACCUGCCGACAAUGGAAGAAGUGGAGAAGGAGAUUACAGUGGAAGAGAUCAAUCACCCGCAGUCGCCAUCGCCAGCCAUGUUUCCCCCAGGGACUCCGCCGCCACCACCUCCUCCGCCACCGGCGGCAAUGUCGAGGAGCAAGAAGAAGAGGAGCGGCAGCGUGGGCGGCGCAAAGGAACUGGCCUCCGCCAUUGCUCUCUUCUACCAGAAGAAGCGCAAGAGCAUUAUCAUGAAGAGGGAGAGGCACCACCACCACCACCACCACCAUCUCUCCGAUGACCACUACUCGUCGCCUUCGUCCGAAGCAUCGGCGAGCCCCGAAGCUACCGGCCGUGCCAAUCCUCCACGCCCGCCACCGCCGCCACCCCCUCCCCCGCCGCCGCCGUCAUCCAUCUUCUCCAACCUCUUCAAGAAAGGAGGCAGCAAGAGCCGCCGCAUGAACUCCCUCGCGCCACCGCAACCGCCACCUCCGCCCCCACCAACGCGCCGAUCAAGGAAACCGCCACAGCCUCCGUCUCGCCCCGCUCCUCCGCAGCCAGCGCCAGCUCCAGUGAGGACACGGCCGCCGCGCGCGAGCGCGCACCCGCAACAGCAGAUACGCGCGCAGGGGUAUCCGCAGCAGCCGCCACUGUAUCCCAGGCGCGGUGUCGUGUACUACGCCUACCCGCUUCCUCCGCCGUCGCCCCCAAUGCCGCCACCGCCUCCUCCACCGCCGAUGCUGGAGGGGGAGGAGGAGGUUCCGUCGGUCACUGCGUCACCGGCACCGUCGUACUGCGCGAGCCCCGACGUGAACACCAAGGCGGACAACUUCAUCGAACGCUUCCGCGCCGGGCUGAAGCUGGAGAAGAUCAACUCGUACCGGGAGAAGCUGCAGAUCCAAGAAGGCUCGACCGUGACCAUGGCGGAGGAGGACGGGGAGUUCAUGAUCAUUGGGUCCCUCUUCGAAGAUGACGAUGACGAUAUGUCGUUGCCGGAGACGCCGGCAACCGCUACCGCAGCCGCUGUUGCCGUCGGCUUCUAAAUUCGAAUUCUACUUCUGACUUCCGAGGUGUUGCAUUGACGCUUGGAAAAAACAGAGAGAAAAGCGAAUAAUUUUUUUUCAAAACAAACAAAAUGAAAAGGGAAUUUAUUUUCGGUAUUGGGUUAUUUGAGGUAUUUUCCAUGAGAUUUGGUUCACUUUUCUUCUCAAAUUUUUGGGUAGUUUAGGAUAAUUGACAGUGAGAUUGGGUUAUUGAUUGCUUGUGGAGAGGAUGAUUUUUUUUUCGAGGGUACACAAAUUGCGUACCAUAACUUUAUAGAAGGAGAGAAAAUUAGUAUAUGACCCCUACCACUUGCUGCGAACAACGAGCGUAGCACAACAACACAUCCGGCUAUCCUCAGGACAGCCACACACGACAUCACAACUACAACACGGAUAACCUGCCCAAAACCGAAACACCUCGCCGCGUCUUGAUCGAUACCGAACACCUUCGAAGAAUAGCAACUCCAGCUUCCUUUGGGUUCAUCCGUGACGACCAUAUAUAGCGCCGGAGGAGAGCGGUCAGGGCCACGACGAACACCGGAGGAGCGCCAACAAGAAGCUCAGUCUCCUUGCAUGAUGCUCCCAACAGAGAAACGACGUCGUAGACGCCGCCAACAUGCCGCUCCAGAGGACCAAGGCUUUCGCCCGGAGACAACUGCCAACACCAAUCACGAGGGAGAUGGCGACACACUCGACAUCGCCUCCAGAGAGGGGAACGACAUCCGCGGGUGCCAUCGAUGCCGGCCGGCCAAAAACCGGAUAGGAUUUUCAUCCGUGACGUUGCGCAUCUCCACUCCGACGAGGUAGGCAGCACCGUUCCUGAAGCCUCGCAUCGCCGUCACCGCAGCAAAUUCGUCAAAGCCGCAAAGCCGAGGUCCCACACCACCCGCACUGCCGAGAGAGCGUGAACCAGACCUCCACCAACAUCGCAUCGAGGAGCAACCACAACCUCCAAGCAGAGCAAAAGCCAGAUCCGCUCCAACGGCCGUCGUCGACACCAAGAGACUGCCGCCAGAUUGGAUCUAGCCCGCCCCUCCAACCUCACUCCGGCGCCAACUCCACCGGGGCAUCGCCGCGAUCCCUCACACGGAGGCGGCCGGACGCCCGCUGCACGCCAAGACACCUUCCUGGCAGGGCCAUCUCGGCGCCGCCGCCCCCAUGGCUGAUCCAACGCCGCCGCCACCGCCGAUGCUGGCGCUCGACCUGCAGCCACCAACCAGAAGUGCUCCUCGCCAGGAUCCGAAGAAAGCCCUCGCCUUUGCCCCCGCUGUGCCUCCAACCCAACCGCGAGCCCCAGCGCCGCCCGCGAGAAGAACGCUGCGCAAGACCACGCCUGCCGCCCGCGCCUUGCACGCGCUCCGCCACGUCGCUCGUGCCAAGACCGAACGCCGCCAGCCUCCGCGCCGCCCGCCGGACAUAGCAACCCUGCGCGAAGAGGUGGGUCGGGGCGCGCCACCCCAGCCCGCACGCGCGCCGCGACCAACCAGGUCGCCGCGCAGCCCUGCUCCAUCUCCUGCCUGCGCGCCCCCACUGGCCACGACGCGCCGGCCUCCGAGCACCGCCGCCAGACGAAGAAGAAGGCCCCCCGCGGCCCCUACUCCAGGCGAGCGCGAGCAGAUCCCGCCGCCACCGUCACCGCGCGGGCUUUGCCCGGCGGCGCCCGCCGGCGGCGGCGGCAGGGAGGGGAGGGAGAGGGGGGAUCGAGGGGCCGGCAGCUAGGGUUUGAGCACUCGGGUCGCCCGCGGGGGAGCGACACGGGGCCGGAGAGGAUGAAUUCAGUGUUGAGGUUAUUACUCUAAUUGAAGAGAGUGGUAUAGGGAGCUUUAUGCGCAUGUUUUAAAAUGGCCAGAAAGCUCGGCGAGGUGAUACAAAUUUCAUGUGUCUACAGUCUAUAUACUAGUACUACUUAACAUGGCAGAAAGCUCGGCGAGGAGUAUCUAUAUCUAUACUACUAUUAAAAGAGCAAACAUGAAUUCCCUUAGAGACGCACCACAAAGCGUACACAGGAUUAUCAGAGGCGAGAGUCUCCGGCGCCACCGUCCGCUUCACCUCUGCUGGCCCACGGAAGUGAGCGCGGGGCGCCGUGGCCGCCUGCUGCUCUCCUCUACUGACCAACGGAUGCGAGCGCGGGCUGCCGCCGUCGCCAUGUUGACGCCCUCGCCACCAAGCCAGCAAACUUUGAUCAGGUACAAACUUCGAUCAGAAUUUUCUUUAAGACUUUACCUCAACAUCAAGCUGCCGGCUUGGUGUAGGAAGUUAGCUGACGGGAAACAAACCUAGGUGGCUCAUACUCUGUAGCAAGGAAAGCAAUCUGGUUUCAUGGAACACUGACUCUCCCCACAUAUUCAAUUAUUAGGAGUACCGUAAUUAGAAGAAUCUGCGCUUGAGACAACAAAAUAAAUAUUGACCAAAAUGACGGACAUCAGUCAAAGUUCACCUCGUGGCAGAUUUGGGUCAAAAUUCAUAAGUACAAAGAGUGACAUAAAAAAACAUGACUACAAUUGUACUCCUAUUUCUUAAUAUACCGAGUAAACAAAAUGCAAUGGCCUAUAAUAUAGUGUUUAUGUGCUUUGCAUGAAACAGAAUGCAUGUCACUGAAAAUAUCUCUAUUCUCUAAUAUGUUCUGUUAUUAUAUAAGCACAUAAUUGGGAGGACUGACAUCCAACUUGGCUAAAUGAAAGAAUUAGCAAACAUAAUUUAGGAGAUGCCUAUCUUUUGUAGCAUGGAAGUGAGAUAGUCAACAAGUUCUAUAUCAAAAGACCCUGAGCAUGGAAGACAGAAAAAGUGACAUCCCAACUGAUAAUAGGAAAAGGUAGACAACAUACACGAAACGGUAGAAUCGGCUCCUCCACUCAUGCUUCUCUGAAUUUCUACUUGCUAAAUCCAGAACAUGCUUCUCUGAAUUUCUACAACCUAAGUUCAGUAGAUGCUUCUCUGAAUGUUGGCUUGCCAAUUGGUUUUGUAUUGUAGACUUGAGAGUACUGUAUGAAGUCUAUUUGUGCCAAUGGAUUGCCACAUUUUUAUGUUAGUUUUAAGCCAUUUGAACGAAAUGACUACAAAAUCUCUAUGACAAUCUACGACUAAUCAUUUUGUGCAAAUAAAAAUCAGUACAUGCUUCUCUAUAUAUCUGAAAUACAAUUAAGCAAAAUUUGUUCUUAUAUGUUGGCCUGCCAAUUGGUAUUGGGUACCAUGCAUUAAUGUUUUUCAAAUGCUUAAUCCAAGUGCCACUUCUGUACUCAAUAAGGUGAACUUUUAUUUAAAUAAUUAAAUGUUGGUUUGCCGAAGUUUUAUUCUGAUCGAAUUCUGGUACUUACAUUGUAUGUUUACCAACAUUACAUAUGGCCAGGCAAUCAUUUGGGCUAUUUAUGUAGCAAUUCAUCAGACUCAGCAAUCGAGUAAACGCAGUUAAAGAGUAAGGUAUGUAUAUAUUUUUGGCAAUUUAAUUCCUUCUUCCACAUUGUAUGAUGUCAAGUUUCGGACAUAGUUAUAUAUAUGAUUUACUGUUGUAGGUUGUAGUGUUGGCAUGAAGAAUCGUAAUACGAAUUUAAUGACUAUCGUGCCUUACUGUCAAGAUGAAUAACGGCCAACUCAGAUAUUCUUUGAGUAUGUUUCUCCUAAAGCUAACUUACCAAUGUUUAGUGCAGAUGCUGAUAACUUUUCAGUUUGUUUCAAAGUUGUGUAGUUCAGAUUCCGAAAUUUUGUGUACGAUUUAUAGAAGAUGCUAUGUAAGAUGAUGACAGCAUACUCUGUACACGUGAGUUCAGCAUGGUUCGAUGAUGUAUGAUUUUUUUUAAAGAAAACCAUGAUUACAAGGACCUACAACAAACCUAAGUCUGCACAAGGUAAAAAUCAAAGUGGACUUCACCUCUUGAUCAUUUCUGAAAUUUCCAAAAUGAGAUGUACAAGACUUUCUUAUUUACUUGAUUUGCUAUUUACCCAGGGUAAAUAAAUAUAUCACCAACUCUUACCUACUUGGACCUUAUAGAUCCUGAAGAUUUUCUUGGAGACAGGUCAAAAAGCAGAUCCAAAAGAAUUAAAGAAACAAAGGGAAAGGAGAGGUAUGCACUAAACAGGGAUGAGAUAUUAAAAAGAAGACACGAGGCAAGGGAUAAUAACAAAGCUACAUCUCCUUUCUAAAUUGAAAGCGCACUCCAUCUAAGACACCCGUGGCCAUAUCACCUGGUUUGUCCAUUUUUUCUGUUCUUUAUGAUGUAGCAGUCACAAGUAUAAUCAUAUCUAUGAUCAAUUCUUUCUGACAGAUUUUCACACUGCGGAGAAGCCCACUGGGCAAUCUGCUUUCACUCAACUGCGAUACACACCAGCUGCGGAAGGUGAUGUUUUUAAGUUCAAUGGUUUGAGUUUAUGAAACAAAUGGUUGUCCAGUUGCUUCUGCUGUUUGCAACACAAGCAUAUAGAGCUAAAAUUAUCAACCACCGGAGAAAGCGAUUUUCUGAGACAACACGCUGAUAAACACCACUUAUCAAGCAUCACCAUCAGAAGAGACUAACUGGAAAAACCAAACUCUUAAAAAGGCUGCAAGCGAAGAGAACGUACCUCAAUAUGAGGUUGCUUGCUAUUAUGAAAGCAAGGUGCACUUGGUGUGUAUACAUCAUCCAGUGAAUCCAAGCUUGCUUCCCUUCACAUAUGCACAAGAAGAUUUCACAAAAAUCUAGCAAUCAAGGAACAUUUGACAAUCACAAUUAGACUAAGCAAGGAAGAUGUACCUGCACUGUAGCUAAACACUAGAACCCAACUGCAUACUGUACCUGUCCCAUAGUUGAUUGACUUGAUUCUGUCAGAGCUAAACCUGCAUGCAUUUUGAUAAUAGUUAGACGAAAAAAAUAUUAUUUACAUAGCAUUCAUUUGAGUUACAGAAGCUAUGCAAAUGCAUGUUGAUUGCCUCAACGAUCAGGAAAUUUUCCAGUACUGCAGCCCCAUGGAAU